AUAUAAUCAGCUAUGGUUGAAUUGUCAAAGACAGGUUGGUUGAUAUGGAUUACUCGAUUACUUGACUUAAUAACUAUGCCAUACUUCCUUGGUUGUACUUGUAAGACAGCUACAAAGUAAGUUAAUAGAUAAUAGAUACUGGAUUUGGUGUUGCCUGCUGCAGUGCUUUCUGCUAACCAGUCAAAUUGCAUAUUAUAAUUUUUGUUAUGUUUUUUGGAUGAUUGGCUUGAGCAAGAUAUUUUAUGACACGUCUUGUUCUCAUCCAUACUGUCAUUUUCAGUUUACAGAAUUCGUGCAUACAAUACAAGCGCUGCAGAUUGAGCUGGCAGAUGUAAAAGAAGGAAAUGCAACUUCUAAUGAUGAAUCACGUGACUUAAAGAAAAAAGAUGCUUCACAGCCUGGGAAAAAU
Molecule: long non-coding RNA, 409 nt
Filed under: Daucus carota (carrot)
Lineage: Eukaryota; Viridiplantae; Streptophyta; Magnoliopsida; Apiales; Apiaceae
Description: long non-coding RNA (DCAR_LNC001715)
Source: RNAcentral